GUGGGUAUAGCUCAGUGAUAGAGCGCGUGUUUUAACACGCACGAGAUCCUGAAUUCAAACCCCAGUACCCCCA
RNAcentral lists this transfer RNA (73 nucleotides) under Camelus bactrianus (Bactrian camel). It matches the Rfam family "tRNA". From Rfam's summary of the family: Transfer RNA (tRNA) molecules are approximately 80 nucleotides in length. Lineage: Eukaryota; Metazoa; Chordata; Mammalia; Artiodactyla; Camelidae. The record is from Rfam by way of RNAcentral. RNAcentral also lists the same sequence under 2 other names.